AGGCAUAUGUUGCAACAGAGGGAUUUACUUCAACUUAACACUUAUAACAAUGAUCGAUGAAUGUUUAAACUCUCCUUGUCUAAAUGGAGGAACCUGUUUCGACGAGUUCGAAUCAUUCCGAUGUCACUGUCCCAACGAGUAUGAAGGAGGCUUGUGCCAAAACCAAAUUACCACACAAAGGCCGAUUCAGACGACGGAUAGCUCAACUACAG
Long non-coding RNA from Lytechinus variegatus (green sea urchin), 212 nucleotides. RefSeq lists it as uncharacterized. The transcript has 3 exons. The record is from RefSeq and is a predicted model, not a curated record. NCBI's taxonomy places the organism in Eukaryota, Metazoa, Echinodermata, Echinoidea, Temnopleuroida, Toxopneustidae.